UACGUAGGGGGCUAGCGUUGUCCGGAAUCAUUGGGCGUAAAGCGCGUGUAGGCGGUCCGGUAAGUCCGCUGUGAAAGUCGAGGGCUCAACCCUCGAAUGCCGGUGGAUACUGUCGGGCUAGAGUGCGGAAGAGGCGAGUGGAAUUCCUGGUGUAGCGGUGAAAUGCGCAGAUAUCGGGAAGAACACCCGUGGCGAAGGCGGCUCUCUGGGACGGUACUGACGCUGAGACGCGAAAGCGUGGGGAGCGAACAGG
RNAcentral lists this ribosomal RNA (253 nucleotides) under uncultured bacterium. RNAcentral's name for it is "partial 16S ribosomal RNA". It matches the Rfam family "Bacterial small subunit ribosomal RNA", at positions 524 to 776 of the family's 1533-position model. The record is from RNAcentral.